Molecule: long non-coding RNA, 1412 nt
Organism: Salvelinus sp. IW2-2015
Lineage: Eukaryota; Metazoa; Chordata; Actinopteri; Salmoniformes; Salmonidae
Source: RefSeq, a predicted model, not a curated record
AGGUAACAUAUGCUCCCCCCCUUUUCAUUCAAAAGGGGGAAUUUACCCGACGGGCCCCUGACGUCUCUUCCCUCUCCUCCGUCCUCUUCUAUCUCUUUCAGGGGAGGGACGCAAUCCAUUAUUAAGCGCAUGGCUUGGCUGUGAGUAGCGUAGUCAGUCGGGAAGGGGGGAGUGGAAUUUACUGUUCUGCAGUAGCAGCAGUCAGCAGCACACAGUAGCAGCCAGCCAGUAGGACAGAAAAUWACUUAACCAACCAACACCUUGGGGCUUGUCUCUUCUGUGGUCUCUUGCUGGCUGCCUGGGUAGACCCACAGGAAGAAAAAGGGAACACCGGCCGGGAAGGAAGGAGUKUGGAACGAAAAAAAGAGAAAGAAGAAGCAGGUGAAGGUGAAAUGAACGUGGAGGAAAAGUUGCUGUCUGUUCAGUUGACGUCCACAUGGAUAUUUUUGUUGUUUCCCUCUCUCCCUCCCCCUCCCGCACUCACCCGGUUGUGCUGUGGCCGGACAUGCUGCUGCAGCAGCAUCAGAGCUCCCGCUCUGCCUGGCUCAUUAGGUGUCACGGUUGCAGCCCCUCUGAUAUCUAAUGACGGACUCGUUAGCUCAAACCCGCACUGACGUGGAGACGGAGACAGCCAAAGACAGAACCAUUCGCUCUUYGUCUUCACACUUUGUCCUCUAUCUACCUGACCGGGAACUCAUCMAUUUUUUUGCAUCCACUUGCUAAAGGAGAUAUCUGAUGGCGAUAGAACAUUUCUGGGUAUUUGAUUACCCUCGUGCCUUUUCAUUCACUAGCCAAGAUAAGACCUAAGACUUCAUUUUUGGAACGGGGUCAUCAUCAUCGUCGUCGUUUUUUCUUUAAAUCGUAGGGGUACGUUUUGAAGACAUGAUAGUCCCGAGGAUGACGGCCGGAUGGUCAGAAUGUGGAUGAUAUCGUCGGUGUGGAUGACGACGAGGUGUCGUAACGAAGCCAUAACGAACGGCGUCGGUUGCCAUGGCGAACAAACGGGACUUGAGUUUUAAACAGAACAGGGGAGGAUGAAAUGGACCGGAUUGACGGUACAAAACUGGCUUGUUCCAUCUGGGAUGCCUACACUCCAGUCCUUGACCCAGUGAACACCUAAUGCUUUGCUAAAGCUGGUAAAAAGGAACCAAAUCACCUCUUGAAUGGAUUUGGUCCCCUUCAACCAGCUGUAGCUAUGCUUUGAUGACUACAUACCGUCCUACCGGAGCUCUUCUCUCUUCAAUGUUCUGACUGACUGGCUAUGAUCAGGUGUAGCCAGAUGCCUCGACUUAGACACGGCGGCUCUCAUCUUCACUAAGUGAUUAUUGAUCAAGUGUCAUGUUUCAUUGCUGAAUCUGUCUGCCUUUCUUCUAUCUUGACUAAUAAAAAGAAGCCAACAGAGAUGCAACAAA